AACGAACGCUGGCGGCAGGCCUAACACAUGCAAGUCGAACGCCCUGGCAACAGGGAGUGGCAGACGGGUGAGUAACGCGUGGGAACGUGCCCUUCGGUUCGGAAUAACUCAGGGAAACUUGAGCUAAUACUGAAUACGUGCGAGAGCAGAAAGAUUUAUCGCCGAAGGAUCGGCCCGCGUCCGAUUAGCUAGUUGGUGAGGCAAUGGCUCACCAAGGCGACGAUCGGUAGCUGGUCUGAGAGGAUGAUCAGCCACACUGGGACUGAGACACGGCCCAGACUCCUACGGGAGGCAGCAGUGGGGAAUAUUGGACAAUGGGCGCAAGCCUGAUCCAGCCAUGCCGCGUGAGUGAUGAAGGCCCUAGGGUUGUAAAGCUCUUUCGCCAGGGACGAUAAUGACGGUACCUGGAUAAGAAGCCCCGGCUAACUUCGUGCCAGCAGCCGCGGUAA
This 449-nucleotide ribosomal RNA is filed under the name uncultured bacterium. RNAcentral's name for it is "partial 16S ribosomal RNA". It matches the Rfam family "Bacterial small subunit ribosomal RNA", at positions 29 to 523 of the family's 1533-position model. The record is from RNAcentral.